This 664-nucleotide long non-coding RNA is filed under the name Solanum tuberosum (potato). RNAcentral describes it as "long non-coding RNA (STUB_LNC003094)". Lineage: Eukaryota; Viridiplantae; Streptophyta; Magnoliopsida; Solanales; Solanaceae. The record is from RNAcentral.
UUACCGAAGAGGUUAUAAGUGGAAAUAUUUUUUGAAAAAUUAUAGGUUUGUUGUCUUCUUUUAUUUAUUUUUACUAUUUUGCUGUCGUGUUUCCUCAAUAUUUUUAAUAGGGUAAUAGUUAUUGAUAUGAAUAUUUUAAAAAUCCAUUUCAUAAAUUAUUAUUUUUUGUUUGCAAUAAGACCAAACUGAAAAAUUACUUGAAGAGACGAAGCCGGAGCCAAGUACAUUAAUGCUUAAUGCUUGGACAGUUGAGUUAAUAUUAAUUAAGUUAAGAAAAUUAUUGUUAAAACAAAAGAGGCAAACAUAAUAUUAUUAACUACAACGGAAGUAAGUAUUAUGAAACUAAACUUGAAGGGUAGUUUGUGCAAUUAUCUCUUUUAUCUUUUGAUUAUAAUGAUUUUGUAGAAAAAUAAUUUAACAUGAGUGAUUUUAUAAAAGAAAAUUCAUAAGUUGAAUGACUUUAUUGAUACAAAAUUAAGUUGAGUACUUUCUUAAAUAAUUUCACAUACUUGAGUGAUCUUUUGAGAUAUUUAUUCUUUGAAUCGUUGGCAUUUACCUAUCUAAUGAGCUAUUAAAUUUAUCUUUUGAGGUCUACAAUUUUCUUCUGCCCAUAAUUUCCAAUUACUAGCAAACAAGGUAGUCUUGAACGACUUAUCUAGUCCAC